CCUACGGGAGGCAGCAGUGGGGAAUAUUGGUCAAUGGACGAGAGUCUGAACCAGCCACGUCGCGUGAAGGAUGACUGCCCUAUGGGUUGUAAACUUCUUUUAUAUGGGAGUAAAAUGUUUCACGUAUGGGAUAUUGCAUGUACCUUAUGAAUAAGCAUCGGCAAACUCCGUGCCAGCCGCGGCGGUAAUACGGGGGAUGGGAGGGUUGUCCGGUUUUAUUGGGUUUAAGGGGUGCGUAGGCGGUACUGUAAGUUAGUGGGAAAGCGCCCGGGCUUCACCUAGAUUGGCCAUUAAAACUGGAGUACUUGAGUGCAGAAGAGGUAGGUGGAAUAAGUUAAGUAGCGGUGAAAUGCUUAGAUAUAACUUAGAACCCCAGUAGCGAAGGCAGCUUACCGGACUGUUACUGACGCUGAAGCACGAGAGCGUGGGUAGCGAACAGGAUUAGAUACCCUUGUAGUC
RNAcentral lists this ribosomal RNA (459 nucleotides) under uncultured bacterium. RNAcentral describes it as "partial 16S ribosomal RNA". It matches the Rfam family "Bacterial small subunit ribosomal RNA", at positions 338 to 795 of the family's 1533-position model. The record is from RNAcentral.